Non-coding RNA from Ciona savignyi (Pacific transparent sea squirt), 72 nucleotides. NCBI's taxonomy places the organism in Eukaryota, Metazoa, Chordata, Ascidiacea, Phlebobranchia, Cionidae. The record is from Rfam.
GACUCCGUGGCGCAACGGUAGCGCGUCCGACUCCAGACCGGAAGGUUGCGUGUUCAAAUCACGUCGGGGUCA